This 407-nucleotide ribosomal RNA is filed under the name uncultured bacterium. RNAcentral's name for it is "bacterial SSU rRNA". It matches the Rfam family "Bacterial small subunit ribosomal RNA", at positions 355 to 776 of the family's 1533-position model. The record is from RNAcentral.
UGGGGAAUAUUGGGCAAUGGGGGCAACCCUGACCCAGCAACGCCGCGUGAAGGAAGAAGGCUUUCGGGUUGUAAACUUCUUUUACCAGGGACGAAGAACGUGACGGUACCUGGAGAAAAAGCCACGGCUAACUACGUGCCAGCAGCCGCGGUAAUACGUAGGUGGCAAGCGUUGUCCGGAUUUACUGGGUGUAAAGGGCGUGUAGGCGGAGCAGCAAGUCAGAAGUGAAAUCUCUGGGCUCAACCCAGAAACUGCUUUUGAAACUGUUGCCCUUGAGUAUCGGAGAGGCAGGCGGAAUUCCUAGUGUAGCGGUGAAAUGCGUAGAUAUUAGGAGGAACACCAGUGGCGAAGGCGGCCUGCUGGACGACAACUGACGCUGAGGCGCGAAAGCGUGGGGAGCAAACAGG